This 253-nucleotide ribosomal RNA is filed under the name uncultured bacterium. RNAcentral describes it as "partial 16S ribosomal RNA". It matches the Rfam family "Bacterial small subunit ribosomal RNA", at positions 524 to 776 of the family's 1533-position model. The record is from RNAcentral.
UACGAGGGGUGCAAGCGUUGCUCGGAAUCAUUGGGCGUAAAGGGCAGGUAGGUGGUCUUGUUUGUCUGAUGUGAAAGCCUUGAGCUUAACUCAAGAAGUGCGUCAGAAACGGCAAGACUAGAGUACUGGAGAGGGUCGUGGAAUUCCCGGUGUAGCGGUGAAAUGCGUAGAGAUCGGGAGGAACACCAGCGGCGAAGGCGGCGACCUGGACAGUGACUGACACUCAACUGCGAAAGCGUGGGGAGCAAACAGG